This 406-nucleotide ribosomal RNA is filed under the name uncultured bacterium. RNAcentral's name for it is "partial 16S ribosomal RNA". It matches the Rfam family "Bacterial small subunit ribosomal RNA", at positions 30 to 526 of the family's 1533-position model. The record is from RNAcentral.
AUUGAACGCUGGCGGCAGGCCUAACACAUGCAAGUCGAACGAGUGGCGGACGGGUGAGUAAUGUCUGGGAAACUGCCCGAUGGAGGGGGAUAACUACGGGAAACGGUAGCUAAUAACGCAUAACAUCGAGUGUGCACAGAUGGGAUUAGCUAGUAGGUGGGGUAACGGCUCCAUUAGGCGACGCUCCCUAGCUGGUCUGAGAGGAUGACCAGCCACACUGGAACUGAGAAAGUGUCCAGACUCCUACGGGAGGAAGCAGUGGGGAAUAUUGCACAAUGGGCGCAAGCCUGAUGCAGCCAUGCCGCGUGUAUGAAUAAGGCCUGCGGGUUGUAAAGUACUUUCAGCGGGGAGGCGUUACUCGCAGAAGAAGCACCGGCUAACUCCGUGCAAGCAGCCGCGGUAAUAC